This 492-nucleotide ribosomal RNA is filed under the name uncultured bacterium. RNAcentral describes it as "partial 16S ribosomal RNA". It matches the Rfam family "Bacterial small subunit ribosomal RNA", at positions 29 to 507 of the family's 1533-position model. The record is from RNAcentral.
AGUGAACGCUGGCGGUAGGCCUAACACAUGCAAGUCGAACGGCAGCACAGUAAGAGCUUGCUCUUACGGGUGGCGAGUGGCGGACGGGUGAGGAAUACAUCGGAAUCCACUUUUUCGUGGGGGAUAACGUAGGGAAACUUACGCUAAUACCGCAUACGACCUACGGGUGAAAGCAGGGGAUCUUCUGACCUUGCGCGAUUGAAUGAGCCGAUAUCGGAGUAGCUAGUUGGCGGGGUAAAGGCCCACCAAGGCGACGAUCCGUAGCUGGUCUGAGAGGAUGGUCCGCCACACUGGAACUGAGACAGGGUCCAGACUCCUACGGGAAGCAGCAGUGGGGAAUAUUGGGCAAGGAGCGCGAGCCUGAUCCAGCCAUACCGCGUGUGUGAAGAAGGCCUUCGGGUUGUAAAGCCAUUUUGUUGGGAAAGAAAAGCAGCAGGUUAAUACCCCACUGUUAUGACGGUACCCAAAGAAUAAGCACCGGCUAACUUCGUG